GCCGGGAAUUCGAUUGUUUGAUCCUGGCUCAGGCGACGCUGGCGGCGUGCCUAAUACAUGCAAGUCGUGCGAGCUGAAUUCAAGGAUCCCUUCGGGGUGACUUGUUGGACGCGAGCGGCGGAUGGGUGAGUAACACGUGGGCAACCUGCCCUAAAGACUGGGAUACCACUUGGAAACAGGUGCUAAUACCGGAUAACAACGACUUUCACAUGAAAGACGCUUGAUAGGCGGCUUUAAGCUGUCACUUUAUGAUGGGCCCGCGGUGCAUUAGCUAGUUGGUGGGGUAACGGCCUACCAAGGCAAUGAUGCAUAGCCGAGUUGAGAGACUGAUCGGCCACAUUGGGACUGGGACACGGCCCAAACUCCUACGGGAGGCAGCAGUAGGGAAUCUUCCACAAUGGACGCAAAUCUGAUGG
Molecule: ribosomal RNA, 416 nt
Filed under: uncultured Lactobacillus sp.
Lineage: Bacteria; Bacillati; Bacillota; Bacilli; Lactobacillales; Lactobacillaceae
Description: bacterial SSU rRNA
Rfam family: Bacterial small subunit ribosomal RNA
Source: RNAcentral